GACGAACGCUGGCGGCGUGCCUAAUACAUGCAAGUUGAGCGCUGAAGGUUGGUACUUGUACCAACUGGAUGAGCAGCGAACGGGUGAGUAACGCGUGGGGAAUCUGCCUUUGAGCGGGGGACAACAUUUGGAAACGAAUGCUAAUACCGCAUAAAAACUUUAAACACAAGUUUUAAGUUUGAAAGAUGCAAUUGCAUCACUCAAAGAUGAUCCCGCGUUGUAUUACCUAGUUGGUGAGGUAAAGGCUCACCAAGGCGAUGAUACAUAGCCGACCUGAGAGGGUGAUCGGCCACAUUGGGACUGAGACACGGCCCAAACUCCUACGGGAGGCAGCAGUAGGGAAUCUUCGGCAAUGGACGAAAGUCUGACCGAGCAACGCCGCGUGAGUGAAGAAGGUUUUCGGAUCGUAAAACUCUGUUGGUAGAGAAGAACGUGGGUGAGAGUGGAAAGCUCAUCAAGUGACGGUAACUACCCAGAAAGGGACGGCGAACUACGU
This 496-nucleotide ribosomal RNA is filed under the name uncultured bacterium. RNAcentral describes it as "partial 16S ribosomal RNA". It matches the Rfam family "Bacterial small subunit ribosomal RNA", at positions 28 to 506 of the family's 1533-position model. The record is from RNAcentral.